Molecule: ribosomal RNA, 794 nt
Filed under: Stigmella boehmeriae
Lineage: Eukaryota; Metazoa; Arthropoda; Insecta; Lepidoptera; Nepticulidae
Description: eukaryotic LSU rRNA
Rfam family: Eukaryotic large subunit ribosomal RNA
Source: RNAcentral
CGUUCAGGGGUAAACCUGUGAAACUCGAAUGAACGAACGGGGAGAUUCAUCGUCACUCAUCGGACGGUGCUGGCGGCGCGCGAUGUGCAACCCUGCGGCGGCUUCGGUCGUCGUUGCGAGCUGCUCACGCGCCCGCUCCGCACAGUCAGUCCGGUGACGUCGUGCACUUCUCCCUUAGUAAUGCAUCGCGACCCGCUCGACACCUGUCUAAGCCCUGUCCGGAUGCACGUGGUGCCUCGUGUGCCGCGUACCGCGACGGGUGCCGGCCGGUUGUCGGGCGGUAUUAGACGUGAAACGCGCACGCGCUUGUCGCGUCCGGCCCGACGCAAGGUCGCUGCGAUGCCGCCGCUGCGCCUGAGUGCGCACGGUUGGUGUCCGGCGCCUGCUCGUGGCAGCCGUGUCGUCUCGGACGUGCGCGUAUCCAGUCAUGCGAUGUUUUUGUUUCGGGCACUCACAGGACCCGUCUUGAAACACGGACCAAGGAGUCUAGCAUGUGUGCGAGUCACUAGGUUUUAAAACCGAAAGGCGCAACGAAAGUGAAGGUGCGCGCUCGCCGCGCACUUGGGGAGGAUGGCGAACGGCUCUCAAGGCUCUCGCCCGCACUCCCGAGGCGUCCCGUUCGCAAUCUGUCGAUGUGGGCGCGCUCAGAGCACAGAUGCUGGGACCCGAAAGAUGGUGAACUAUGCCUGGUCAGGUCGAAGUCAGGGGAAACCCUGAUGGAGGACCGUAGCGAUUCUGACGUGCAAAUCGAUCGUCGGAACUGGGUAUAGGGGCGAAAGACUAAUCGAACCAUC